Molecule: ribosomal RNA, 210 nt
Filed under: Salmonella enterica subsp. enterica serovar Infantis
Lineage: Bacteria; Pseudomonadati; Pseudomonadota; Gammaproteobacteria; Enterobacterales; Enterobacteriaceae
Also listed under: 1 other name
Description: partial 16S ribosomal RNA
Rfam family: Bacterial small subunit ribosomal RNA
Source: RNAcentral
GCUAGUAAUCGUGGAUCAGAAUGCCACGGUGAAUACGUUCCCGGGCCUUGUACACACCGCCCGUCACACCAUGGGAGUGGGUUGCAAAAGAAGUAGGUAGCUUAACCUUCGGGAGGGCGCUUACCACUUUGUGAUUCAUGACUGGGGUGAAGUCGUAACAAGGUAACCGUAGGGGAACCUGCGGUUGGAUCACCUCCUUACCUUAAAGAA